This 608-nucleotide long non-coding RNA is filed under the name Amphimedon queenslandica. RNAcentral's name for it is "uncharacterized LOC109592731, transcript variant X3". Lineage: Eukaryota; Metazoa; Porifera; Demospongiae; Haplosclerida; Niphatidae. The record is from RNAcentral.
UUAACCCAAACGCAAAAUUCGCAAUUAAUAGUACCCGCAUUUAAAAGUAACCUUAAGGUACUGAUAUAUUGCCCAUCCUUAUUGGUACUGCAUUUCUCUAUUCUCAUUGUUGUGUUCCUUGAUCCCUAUUCUUGUAUAUCUUAAUUUGUCUCGUAUUGACAUUUCUUCCUCUCUUUUGCCUUCUCUCCUCCUAGUAUAUGUACAUGUACAUCUAACUUUUGCUCUUUCUCUUUUCUUCCUAUAUAGGAUUCUCCUAUCUCUUAUGUUCUUUGUCUUCUUGUGUAUAAUACAGUUCCUUACUGAUACUAUAAGCUUGUGUUAACACAUACACAUUGUGUGUCAAGAAUCAAGAUUCCAUUUCCGGCAAAAGAUGUGGGAGCAGAACUAUCCUAACAACAUGAUGGAGAAUGGAAUUAAGACAAAAUACUAAAAAUAUUCAGAGCAUGUCCAAUUUGAACAAUGCCGUUAACUACUCAUAAUCAAUAAACAGUUUGUUCCAUGGACAUUAACUUAUUACUUAGAGAAAAGGAUGCGUUGAGAUUAAUAUGCACUAAUGCAAUGUGUCACCAUUUUCUUGAUGCAUCAAGCUUAGGAGAUACUGAGGUCAU